This 253-nucleotide ribosomal RNA is filed under the name uncultured bacterium. RNAcentral's name for it is "partial 16S ribosomal RNA". It matches the Rfam family "Bacterial small subunit ribosomal RNA", at positions 524 to 776 of the family's 1533-position model. The record is from RNAcentral.
UACGUAUGGGGCGAGCGUUGUUCGGAAUUAUUGGGCGUAAAGGGCGUGUAGGCGGGAUGUUAAGUCGAGUGUGAAAUCCGCGGGCUCAACCCGCGAACUGCGCUUGAUACUGGUGUCCUUGAGUAAGGGAGAGGAGAGUGGAAUUCUCGGUGUAGCGGUGAAAUGCCUAGAUAUCGGGAAGAACACCGGUGGCGAAGGCGACUCUCUGGCCCAUUACUGACGCUGAUGCGCGAAAGCUAGGGGAGCAAACGGG